This 484-nucleotide ribosomal RNA is filed under the name uncultured bacterium. RNAcentral describes it as "partial 16S ribosomal RNA". It matches the Rfam family "Bacterial small subunit ribosomal RNA", at positions 30 to 507 of the family's 1533-position model. The record is from RNAcentral.
AUUGAACGCUGGCGGCAGGCCUAACACAUGCAAGUCGAGCGGAUGAAGGGAGCUUGCUCCUGGAUUCAGCGGCGGACGGGUGAGUAAUGCCUAGGAAUCUGCCUGGUAGUGGGGGAUAACGUCCGGAAACGGGCGCUAAUACCGCAUACGUCCUGAGGGAGAAAGUGGGGGAUCUUCGGACCUCACGCUAUCAGAUGAGCCUAGGUCGGAUUAGCUAGUGGGUGGGGUAAAGGCCUACCAAGGCGACGAUCCGUAACUGGUCUGAGAGGAUGAUCAGUCACACUGGAACUGAGACACGGUCCAGACUCCUACGGGAGGCAGCAGUGGGGAAUAUUGGACAAUGGGCGAAAGCCUGAUCCAGCCAUGCCGCGUGUGUGAAGAAGGUCUUCGGAUUGUAAAGCACUUUAAGUUGGGAGGAAGGGCAGUAAGUUAAUACCUUGCUGUUUUGACGUUACCAUCAGAAUAAGCACCGGCUAACUUCGUG